This 222-nucleotide long non-coding RNA is filed under the name Gallus gallus (chicken). Its description in RNAcentral is "long non-coding RNA NONGGAT004391". The record is from RNAcentral. Lineage: Eukaryota; Metazoa; Chordata; Aves; Galliformes; Phasianidae.
GCCUUGGCAACGCCGGGCAGCCCUGCUGCUGUCUGUCUGUCAGGCUUGGUCAGAACCACAGACGUGACACACGAUGCAUUUGCAGUUACACUGAAUGCUGACAAGGCAGAGUGAAAUAGUGAAAAAUGCCAUUCUGUUCUUUGGAGAAGAUAUGAUUGUUGUGCCUCACACUGAAAUAUCUGAGCAGUGCUGCUUCAAACCAUCAGCUGCUCUUCCUGAGAU